UUUAAACAGACUGGUCUUUUGAUCAAAAGUCAUUGCAAUAUGAUCAAAACCGUCGAGACUUCAUAACGGCUAUUAAAAGCAACUCGCUUAAAAAAAAACAGAUGAAUAAAUUUCAAAUUGUCAUUUUUCAUACGAACGACAUACUUCUUGACGCAAAGCAAUGUCAGUGUGCAUAGAAGACAUAUUUUGAAGAUGGAGAAAGUUUCAAAAUUUGGAACCCUCAAUUUUACAUAUUUUUACAUUUUUGAGUAAGAUUUUCUGGUCUUUAGAAUGAAUCCCACCCGUGUUUGAAUGAACGAGUUCAGAUCAAUAAUGAAACACAAUGUUAAAUUUUGGAUUAAUUG
Molecule: non-coding RNA, 344 nt
Organism: Schizosaccharomyces pombe (fission yeast)
Lineage: Eukaryota; Fungi; Ascomycota; Schizosaccharomycetes; Schizosaccharomycetales; Schizosaccharomycetaceae
Source: the annotation of a GenBank genome assembly